UCCAGACUCCUACGGGAGGCAGCAGUGAGGAAUAUUGGUCAAUGGGCGAGAGCCUGAACCAGCCAAGUCGCGUGAGGGAUGACUGCCCUAUGGGUUGUAAACCUCUUUUGUAUGGGGGGAAUAAGCUUUACGAGUAGAGUGAUGACAGUACCAUACGAAUAAGCAUCGGCUAACUCCGUGCCAGCAGCCGCGGUAAUACGGAGGAUGCGAGCGUUAUCCGGAUUUAUUGGGUUUAAAGGGUGCGUAGGCGGACGCUUAAGUCAGCGGUAAAAUUGCGGGGCUCAACCUCGUCGAGCCGUUGAAACUGGGUGCCUUGAGUGGGCGAGAAGUACGCGGAAUGCGUGGUGUAGCGGUGAAAUGCAUAGAUAUCACGCAGAACUCCGAUUGCGAAGGCAGCGUACCGGCGCCCAACUGACGCUGAAGCACGAAGGCGUGGGUAUCGAACAGGAUUAGAUACCCCCGUA
Molecule: ribosomal RNA, 464 nt
Filed under: uncultured bacterium
Lineage: Bacteria
Description: partial 16S ribosomal RNA
Rfam family: Bacterial small subunit ribosomal RNA
Source: RNAcentral